Myotis daubentonii (Daubenton's bat) is the source of this 1096-nucleotide long non-coding RNA. RefSeq lists it as uncharacterized. Lineage: Eukaryota; Metazoa; Chordata; Mammalia; Chiroptera; Vespertilionidae. The record is from RefSeq and is a predicted model, not a curated record.
CUUCGGAAGGUCCCAGAGCCAGGAUGUACACACACUCUGAUGCCAAAGUACAUGUGUUCAGCCCUCAUUGUGGAGGUUCUCAGGUCUUCCUUGACUUAUUUCUUAAACUUAGAACAUCAAGUGCCAGGAUUAACCAUUUGUUGGUUCUAGUCUAAUAGAAAGCCGAUGUUGUAGAAGAAAUUCAUCAAAAGAAACCAGUUGGCUUUUAAAGGACUGAACUCCCUCAGAAAGCAGUGGGCAUUCGGCCAGUGGCCUCUUGGGUUGAUUGAACUCAGGGCUUCGUGUGUUUCUACAGUAGAAGCACAGCUUUUAAAGAAUGCUCAGUAAACCAGGUGCAUUAAAUAACCCAGUGUUGAGUCUCCAUGGGGAUUUGACAAGAAAGGAUGGGAAAACCAAGAUUCCAACACUAUGUGGACCUUAAAUUCCACGCCUUUCUUGAUUCAUCAUUUCAUUUCCAGAAAUUGAUUAUAAGUAAACAAUCAAGAUUUAUUUGUAGCACUGUUUACAAUAAUUUUUAGAGUGGUGACAAUCUAAAUAUUCAGUAACAAAGGGCUUAUAAAUUGUGCUAAAGCAAUAAAAUACUAUGCAGCAAUUAAAAUCACAUUUUCAAGAUUAUUUAGUAACAUCAGUAGAUGAUCACAUUAUAUUUAGUGAGAAAAAAGUAGGCUCCAAACCUGAAUUUACAAUGAUAUCCCAAUUUUGUUCUUUUAAAAAGGAAAUAUAGAUAGGUAGAUAGAUAACUGACAUAGAAAUAGGGACAAUUUUCAUGCAGUUACUUGUAUAGAACACCAACCUAAAACAGAACUUAAAAUGAAAGUCAGUAUUCCAAAAAUUGUGCUUUAAAUACAUGGUAGAGCUCUGGCUGGUAAAACCAACCAAUUUGCCAACCAAACAGCAACCACAAAAAUCCUGUCUUCCUGAAUAGAAAUCAAUGUUUUAAUGUAUCCAGUUGGGUUUUAGAUAACAAACUGGUUUAUCAAUUAGUAAUACUGAACUAGUAACUAAGUCAUGUUUGUGUUGUGUUAUGACCAGCUCCAUCCCCACAGGGAAAGUGAGAAAGUUGGUUUUUUUUACUUCCAGUCUUUCCUUUGGUGUC